GGCAGCUUACACAUGCAAGUCGAGCGGGAGUUGCUUCGGUAACUGACCUAGCGGCGGACGGGUGAGUAAUGCUUAGGAAUCUGCCAUUUAGUGGGGGACAACAUUCCGAAAGGAAUGCUAAUACCGCAUACGUCCUACGGGAGAAAGCAGGGGGAUCUUCGGACCUUGCGCUAAAUGAUGAGCCUAAGUCGGAUUAGCUAGUUGGUGGGGUAAAGGCCUACCAAGGCGACGAUCUGUAGCGGGUCUGAGAGGAUGAUCCGCCACACUGGGACUGAGACACGGCCCAGACUCCUACGGGAGGCAGCAGUGGGGAAUAUUGGACAAUGGGCGGAAGCCUGAUCCAGCCAUGCCGCGUGUGUGAAGAAGGCCUUAUGGUUGUAAAGCACUUUAAGCGAGGAGGAGGCUACCAGUAUUAAUACUACUGGGAUAGUGGACGUUAACUCGCAGAAUAAGCACCGGCUAACUCUGUUGCCAGCAGCCGCGGUAA
RNAcentral lists this ribosomal RNA (487 nucleotides) under uncultured bacterium. RNAcentral describes it as "bacterial SSU rRNA". It matches the Rfam family "Bacterial small subunit ribosomal RNA", at positions 41 to 523 of the family's 1533-position model. The record is from RNAcentral.